RNAcentral lists this ribosomal RNA (665 nucleotides) under uncultured Micromonosporaceae bacterium. RNAcentral describes it as "bacterial SSU rRNA". It matches the Rfam family "Bacterial small subunit ribosomal RNA", at positions 136 to 816 of the family's 1533-position model. Lineage: Bacteria; Bacillati; Actinomycetota; Actinomycetes; Micromonosporales; Micromonosporaceae. The record is from RNAcentral.
CUUUGGGAUAACCCUCGGAAACGGGGGCUAAUACCGGAUAGGACCUGCUGCCGCAUAGUGGUGGAUGGAAAGUUUUUCGGCUUGGGAUGGGCUCGCGGCCUAUCAGCUUGUUGGUGGGGUGAUGGCCUACCAAGGCGACGACGGGUAGCCGGCCUGAGAGGGCGACCGGCCACACUGGGACUGAGACACGGCCCAGACUCCUACGGGAGGCAGCAGUGGGGAAUAUCGCACAAUGGGCGGAAGCCUGAUGCAGCGACGCCGUGUGGGGGAUGACGGCCUUCGGGUUGUAAACCUCUUUCAGUAGGGACGAAGCGUUUGUGACGGUACCUACAGAAGAAGCGCCGGCCAACUACGUGCCAGCAGCCGCGGUAAGACGUAGGGCGCGAGCGUUGUCCGGAUUUAUUGGGCGUAAAGAGCUCGUAGGCGGUUUGUCGCGUCGACUGUGAAAACCUGUGGCUUAACUGUGGGCUUGCAGUCGAUACGGGCUGGCUAGAGUUCGGUAGGGGAGACUGGAAUUCCUGGUGUAGCGGUGAAAUGCGCAGAUAUCAGGAGGAACACCGGUGGCGAAGGCGGGUCUCUGGGCCGAUACUGACGCUGAGGAGCGAAAGCGUGGGGAGCGAACAGGAUUAGAUACCCUAGUAGUCCAUGCUGUAAACGUUGGGCGC